RNAcentral lists this transfer RNA (72 nucleotides) under Chloroflexota bacterium. Its description in RNAcentral is "Chloroflexi bacterium (sediment metagenome) tRNA-Ala". It matches the Rfam family "tRNA". Rfam says of the family: Transfer RNA (tRNA) molecules are approximately 80 nucleotides in length. Their secondary structure includes four short double-helical elements and three loops (D, anti-codon, and T loops). RNAcentral also lists the same sequence under 1 other name. Lineage: Bacteria; Bacillati; Chloroflexota. The record is from RNAcentral.
GGGGCGGUAGCUCAGGGGGAGAGCACCGGCUUUGCACGCCGGGGCGCAGGGGUUCGAAUCCCCUCCGCUCCA